GAGAUGUGAUUCGUGUCGAUUGCUGGUAUGGAAGGCGCUGGGGUCUAUUCAGUUGGUGUCUGUCCAAGCGGUGGUAACCCAUUAACUCUCAGUGUAAACGUUGAGUGCCACAGUUCGGCCUUACGGCGCGAGGAUUUCGUUUGCGUGGGGAUUUUCGGCGACUUGCAUGUAGAUAACGAAAUGGAGACGAGGACGACAGCUACGAAUGCGGUCGUCCGUAUUCCGCGAGCAGUGCCUCCUUGGUCUGUAUCUCUAUGUUGCUUGAUGUCUGACUGCGCAGUUCUCGGUAAGUACGGAUCAUUCUUUGCUGAUACGCCUCGCAGCGCAGCCGUUAAAGAGUUUUCCGUGUUUAUGUGCGGGCAACGAAGAAGUUUAUGCGUGAUGUCAGUGCUUGCUGUGUUUAGCGAACUGUGGUUUACUUUAAUUCCUUAGAGGAUUUUCAUUUUCACUUACACUUCGGGAAAAGGUGAAAAAUUAGUUGCUUCAGCAUACUCCUAGCAGUUAAACUAGUUUGAAUAAAUGUUAAUUCGGGGUUUUUGACGGUUUGUGUAAUAAUUAAUUAGGGACACUUAGCUUCGUAGUUGCGCUCUGUAGUCAAAUGUCACAGAAUCUUCACUGCGUAGAAUACUUACUGGAAGGGUUCACUGCAGUUGGCAACGGUGUUGGAAGACGAGCACAAAGGGUGUCCCGUAAUUACAAGUAAAUAAUGGUGCGUAACGCGUUGAGCCGGUCACAGCUUCUACAAAUAGCGUGGCUGCGAGAACGUUUCAGUUCAUCGCGGAGUAGUGGGUACACACAGGGUAGCGUGAAGAUCCCCCACCCCAGUACGCUAUAAAACAGAUUUCACUUCAGUUAAUUAACGUAACUAUAUAAUUACCGUGCUGUGUAACUUGCCAAGCAUAGACCGAUAACUGCUGGCAUCUUGUUCAGCUUUUUGUCGAAAAGCUCUUGGAAACACGAAGUUUCGCCGCUCAUAUUCAGUGAAAUAGUUUUAUUAGAAUUUAUCCCACCGUGUCGCGAGUUUCCACAACUGUAGAAACUACAAAGGUAAAAAGGAAGCAUCACUCUUAAUAACCAAAAGGGUUGUGAUGUCUUAUCUCUCAUGAAGAGAUAAAGACGGGAGUGUAUUCCACCCACAACAUAAAAGUGAAAGCGCAGUGAAAUAAGUAAUAGAAGUCUCAAGUUCGUCUACGGACAAUGUGGGCUGUAUGUCCUUACAGUGUGUUUAAAAGAACUGCCGUAAGAGGACGAAGUAUGGUGAUAAAUCCUCGAAUCCGUGUGCCUCUUCCACUGUGAGGACGAAGCAGCAUUAAUAGUUAUUAACGGUUUCAUCAACCAUUCGAAGAAAGUUGGUGCAAUCAGGUUUUAAGAAAAUUUCCUUUCCGAGAGUUUGUGCUUUAAAUGUUAAGGAUCGCCGGCCUUAGUGGCCGUGCGGUUCUAGG
Molecule: long non-coding RNA, 1442 nt
Organism: Schistocerca gregaria
Lineage: Eukaryota; Metazoa; Arthropoda; Insecta; Orthoptera; Acrididae
Exons: 2
Source: RefSeq, a predicted model, not a curated record